RNAcentral lists this ribosomal RNA (404 nucleotides) under Verrucomicrobiota bacterium. Its description in RNAcentral is "Verrucomicrobia bacterium partial 16S ribosomal RNA". It matches the Rfam family "Bacterial small subunit ribosomal RNA", at positions 355 to 776 of the family's 1533-position model. Lineage: Bacteria; Pseudomonadati; Verrucomicrobiota. The record is from RNAcentral.
UGGGGAAUAUUGCACAAUGGAGGGAACUCUGAUGCAGCGACGCCGCGUGAACGAAGAAGGCUUUCGAGUCGUAAAGUUCUUUUAUAUGGGAAGAUAAUGACGGUACCAUAAGAAAAAGCCCCGGCUAACUACGUGCCAGCAGCCGCGGUAAUACGUAGGGGGCUAGCGUUGUCCGGAAUCACUGGGCGUAAAGCGCGCGCAGGUGGUUUAGAAAGUCUGAUGUGAAAGCCCACGGCUCAACCGUGGAGGGUCAUUGGAAACUAAUAAACUUGAGUGCAGGAGAGAAAAGUGGAAUUCCUAGUGUAGCGGUGAAAUGCGUAGAGAUUAGGAGGAACACCGGUGGCGAAAGCGGCUUUUUGGCCUGCAACUGACACUGAGGCGCGAAAGCGUGGGGAGCAAACAGG